GAUGUAGCUUAGCAGCACAGCACAUGCCUGGCAAGCAUGAGGCCCUGAGUUCAAUUCCAGGUAUC
This 65-nucleotide transfer RNA is filed under the name Heterocephalus glaber (naked mole-rat). It matches the Rfam family "tRNA". Rfam says of the family: Transfer RNA (tRNA) molecules are approximately 80 nucleotides in length. Their secondary structure includes four short double-helical elements and three loops (D, anti-codon, and T loops). Further hydrogen bonds mediate the characteristic L-shaped molecular structure. tRNAs have two regions of fundamental functional importance: the anti-codon, which is responsible for specific mRNA codon recognition, and the 3' end, to which the tRNAs corresponding amino acid is attached (by aminoacyl-tRNA synthetases). tRNAs cope with the degeneracy of the genetic code in two manners: having more than one tRNA (with a specific anti-codon) for a particular amino acid; and 'wobble' base-pairing, i.e. permitting non-standard base-pairing at the 3rd anti-codon position. The record is from Rfam by way of RNAcentral. Lineage: Eukaryota; Metazoa; Chordata; Mammalia; Rodentia; Bathyergidae.